CCUACGGGUGACAGCAGUGAGGAAUAUUGGUCAAUGGACGAGAGUCUGAACCAGCCAAGUAGCGUGAAGGAUGACUGCCCUAUGGGUUGUAAACUUCUUUUAUAUGGGAAUAAAAUGUUUCACGUGUGGGAUUUUGUAUGUACCAUAUGAAUAAGGAUCGGCUAACUCCGUGCCAGCAGCCGCGGUAAUACGGAGGGUCCGAGCGUUAUCCGGAUUUAUUGGGUUUAAAGGGAGCGUAGGUGGCUUGUUAAGUCAGUUGUGAAAGUUUGCGGCUCAACCGUAAAAUUGCAGUUGAAACUGGCAGUCUUGAGUACAGUAGAGGUGGGCGGAAUUCGUGGUGUAGCGGUGAGAUGCUUAGAUAUCACGAAGAACUCCGAUUGCGAAGGCAGUUCACUGGACUGCAACUGACACUGAGGCUCGAAAGUGUGGGUAUCAAACAGGAUUAGAUACCCGGGUAGUC
RNAcentral lists this ribosomal RNA (460 nucleotides) under uncultured bacterium. RNAcentral's name for it is "partial 16S ribosomal RNA". It matches the Rfam family "Bacterial small subunit ribosomal RNA", at positions 338 to 795 of the family's 1533-position model. The record is from RNAcentral.